UAAGUUCUAUGUGUAUUUUGCAGUCGCGUCCUCAUUGCUGGGGCACUUGAAUAACACCAUAAGUGAGCACUGUUCUAUGGUGUAGACACCAAACAAAAACACAACACACAGACAACACGAUAGGAUAUAAUGUGUAUUGUACAGCUUCUCACCUCGUCAGGUGCACUUAGUAGUGAAUGAUCCGUAUAAUCACAUUAUAAACACACACAACACAAAAACACAACACGCAGACAACACGAUAGGAUAUUAUGUGUAUUGUACAGCUUCUCACCUCGUCAGGUGCACUUAGUAGUGAAUGAUCCGUAUAAUCACAUUAUAAACACAUACAACACAAAACAACACGCAGACAACACGAUAGGAUAUUAUGUGUAUUGUACAGCUUCUCACCUCGUCAGGUGCACUUAGUCGUGAAUGAUCCGUAUAAUCACAUUAUAAACACAUACAACACAAAACAACACGCAGACAACACGAUAGGACAUAAUGUGUAUUGUACAGCUUCUCACCUCUUCGGGUGCACUUAGUAGUGAAUGAUCCGUAUAAUAACAUUAUAAACACACAAAACACAAAAAACACAACACGCAGACAACACGAUAGGACAUAAUGUGUAUUGUACAGCUUCUCACCUCGUCAGGUGCACUUAGUAGUGAAUGAUCCGUAUAAUCACAUUAUAAACAAACACAAAACACAACACGCAGACAACACGAUAGGACAUAAUGUGUAUUGUACAGCUUCUCACCUCGUCAGGUGCACUUAGUAGUGAAUGAUCCGUAUAAUCACAUUAUAAACACACACAACACAAAAACACAACA
Molecule: long non-coding RNA, 809 nt
Organism: Pecten maximus
Lineage: Eukaryota; Metazoa; Mollusca; Bivalvia; Pectinida; Pectinidae
Exons: 2
Source: RefSeq, a predicted model, not a curated record